GUUCAAAUGCCCCUCUUGUUUCCUGCAGGACGUCCUUCCGUCCCAUUCACACACAAGGACAUUUCACCCUCUCACGCCAGCGUGCCGGCCUCCUCUGAGGCUGCGGAGCGCUGAUACAUGUGAGUGAGUAAAACAGAGGACAUCUCGAGGGCACGUAAUACCACGCUGAGCCCGGUGCCAGUGAAAGAGGGGAUUAUUUCACAUGGCCAGCCGGAGAGAUGGGAGCCACACUAAGCUGCUGCGCGUCAUCCCGAGCAGGCCGGGGGCUGAGGAUCCAUCAAAACGGCAAUGAGCAUCUGUGCACACACACGGACUGACUUGGCCAGGGCGUCACUGGCAGGAGAGGAAACAAAGGCCGUCACCACACGGAGCACCUCACAUACACUGGGUUUCCCAUGAGAAAAUCCAGAGAAAACAAACUUCUAUGCACCUAAACAAGGGCAAAUCUUCAAGGAAA
Molecule: long non-coding RNA, 457 nt
Filed under: Takifugu rubripes (torafugu)
Lineage: Eukaryota; Metazoa; Chordata; Actinopteri; Tetraodontiformes; Tetraodontidae
Description: lncRNA (ENSTRUG00000026244.1)
Source: RNAcentral